Molecule: RNA transcript, 1781 nt
Organism: Cavia porcellus (domestic guinea pig)
Lineage: Eukaryota; Metazoa; Chordata; Mammalia; Rodentia; Caviidae
Gene: Hm13
Gene name: histocompatibility minor 13
Exons: 13
Source: RefSeq, a predicted model, not a curated record
GCACGUCACUUCCUGUUUCUUUAGGGAACGUGGCUUUCCCAGCUGCGCCCGUUCCUGCCUCUGAGUUCCUGCGGCGGCCGGAGCUGGAGUCAGAACCCGAGCGCAGCCUUGCCAUGGACUCGGCACUCAGCGACCCACACAACGGCAGCGCCGAGACAGGCGGCGCGGCCAACGGCACGACGCGGCCGCCCUCCACUCCCGAGGGUAUUGCGCUGGCCUACGGCAGCCUGCUGCUCAUGGCGCUCCUUCCCAUCUUCUUCGGCGCCCUGCGCUCCGUGCGCUGUGCCCGCGGCAAGAAUGCCUCAGACAUGCCUGAAACCAUCACCAGCCGGGAUGCUGCCCGCUUCCCCAUCAUAGCCAGCUGCACGCUCCUGGGACUCUACCUCUUUUUCAAAAUAUUCUCCCAGGAGUACAUCAACCUCUUGCUGUCCAUGUAUUUCUUCGUGCUGGGGAUCCUGGCCCUGUCCCACACCAUCAGCCCCUUCAUGAAUAAGUUUUUUCCAGCCAACUUCCCAAAUCGACAGUACCAGCUGCUCUUCACUCAGGGCUCUGGGGAAAACAAGGAAGAGAUCGUCAAUUAUGAGUUUGACACUAAGGACCUGGUGUGCCUGGCCCUAAGCAGCAUCGUUGGCGUCUGGUACCUGCUGAGGAAGCACUGGAUUGCCAACAACCUUUUUGGCCUGGCCUUCUCACUGAAUGGGGUGGAACUGCUGCAUCUGAACAACGUCAGCACUGGCUGCAUCCUGCUGGGUGGACUCUUCAUCUACGAUGUCUUCUGGGUAUUUGGCACCAAUGUUAUGGUGACAGUGGCCAAGUCCUUUGAGGCACCAAUAAAAUUGGUGUUUCCCCAGGAUCUGCUGGAGAAGGGCCUUGAAGCGGACAACUUUGCCAUGCUGGGACUUGGAGAUGUCGUCAUUCCAGGGAUCUUCAUUGCCUUGCUGCUGCGUUUUGACAUCAGCUUGAAGAAAAACACCCAUACCUACUUCUACACCAGCUUUGCAGCCUACAUCUUCGGCCUGGGCCUUACCAUCUUCAUCAUGCACAUCUUCAAACACGCCCAGCCUGCCCUCCUGUACCUGGUUCCUGCCUGCAUCGGCUUUCCCGUCCUGGUGGCUCUGGCAAAAGGAGAAGUGACAGAGAUGUUCAGCUACGAGUCCUCAGCGGAAAUCCUGCCUCAUACCCCGAGGCUCACCCACUUCCCCACAGUUUCGGGCUCCCCUGCCAGCCUGGCCGACUCCAUGCAACAGAAGCUAGCUGGGCCUCGUCGCCGGCGCCCGCAGAAUCCCAGCGCCAUGUAAUGCCCAGCGGGUGUCCACCUGCCCGCUCCCCCCCACUGCCCUGGGCCCAAGUUAUGAGGAAUCAAAUCCUAAAGAUCCAGCAGCAGUGACAGAGUCCAAAGAGGCAACAGAGGCGUCAGCAUCGAAGGGCCUGGAGAAGAAGGAAAAAUGAUGCCGCUGGUGCUUUGAGACCAACCAGACAGGCGCAAGAUGGACAUGCAGGGCAGGGCUGGACAGGAAGCUGAUGACCGCUCCAGGACUGGAGAGCACCAGCAGGAUUCCUCCAUGGCCUCUGUUUCCCUUUGUCCUGUCUCUGGCCUCUCUGCUCCUCCUCAGCCCUACAGGCAAGGGAAACCCCAGCUUCCUCCCUCCCCAGGAGCCAGGUGGAACACUGGGUAUGAUUUUUAGAUUUUUGUAUUGUGGACUGACUUUGCCUCGUAUUAAAACUCAUCCCAUGGCCAGCCAGGCUGCUGUGCUCCUGGAGCCUGGAAGCUUCUCUGUGUA